RNAcentral lists this transfer RNA (75 nucleotides) under Cordylochernes scorpioides. RNAcentral describes it as "tRNA-Thr". It matches the Rfam family "tRNA". Rfam says of the family: Transfer RNA (tRNA) molecules are approximately 80 nucleotides in length. Their secondary structure includes four short double-helical elements and three loops (D, anti-codon, and T loops). Lineage: Eukaryota; Metazoa; Arthropoda; Arachnida; Pseudoscorpiones; Chernetidae. The record is from RNAcentral.
GUCCAGGGUAGCCUAGUGGUCAUGGCAUGUGCCCGGUAAGCGGAAGGUUGUGGGUUCGAUUCCCAUCCCUUGACA